UUUCCCCGGCGGCGGCAGCUGCGCCUCCGAAGCCCCGGGCCCCGGCGGCCCCCACCCCUCGCUCGCGCGCUCCCACACUGCGCCCCCCUCCCCGGGGGAAGGCCUCUUAAUUUAUUUAUUCUGCCGGGACUGGCUGGGGUGGGGGGCUCGGCCGGCGGGGGCGGGGGGCUCCCCGGGCUCUACCUCCCCGUGGCCGGUGGCCCUCGGAGGGAGCCCGGGCCGCCGCCGCGGCGUGCGCCUCGGGCCUUCCGAACUGUUUGCAAACUGCCAAGACCGGAGGUGGGCGCGUGGAGGCGCGGGGCGCGGGGCGGGGGCCCGGGCUCGGCUUCAGCGGGGGCCGCGAGGGUGUGUUUGGAGACUGGGGGGGGCGGGGGGGGGAGCAGAGCGGACGUCGACCCGAGGCGAGCUGCCAUCGAGGCGUCUGGGCUCCGGCGUCCUUCCCGGCCCCGGCGACCCCCUCCCCGCCCCCCAGCCCCGGGCGCCGAGCCGGGGCGGAGGAACCAGGAUUUAACCACCGUCCGGGGAGGAAGCGGCCGGGCCUGGGCCGAGAGAUACGCGCUGGCUGGCCGGCUUUCUUUUCUUUUUUUCUGUUUUUAUUUUUGGAGGGGAGCGCCUCGUAAUUGUCGUGAACACAUGCUUCUUUCCUCGUCGCCCCCCCCCCUCCGUUCCAUCCAGCCACCAGCAAGCGAGCGAGAGAGGGGAGGUGAGAGAGAGAGAGAGAGGAGAGAGUCCCCCCCCCCCCACUCUUUUGCAUGUGUCUUUUCCUUCCCCCUUUCUUUAUUAAAGGUCCGGGAGUGGCGGCGGCCAAUCGGCGCGCGGCUUCCAUUUUGUGAGCUCGACUCCGAGGCUCCCGGGCUUCCCGAGGGCGCGCUGGCGGCCCGGUCCGCCUCUCCCGGUCGGGCGGCCGAGGGGGAAGAGCCACCUCGGUGGGGCCUGGAGGUGGUGUGUUUCAAAUUGGGGCUCUUUUCGGGGUCUGGAGUUUGGCCUUGGAGCGGUAAACAGCCCUCAGCGAAGCCGCCUUUUUACCACCUCUGGAAAGUUUGCAGACGUGGAAGGAGCAGAAAAAUGCCCCGAGAGUGUAACUUACAGAAAGGUCCCUGGCCUGAGAAGGGACAACUCUGGUGCCCCUGGAAUGGACAGCUGGAACCGACAACCCUCUGAGUAAGGUAGGGGAGAGUCCUUUCCCUCCCCGGCCGGGCCAGUGACUGGGGGGCGGGGUCGGAAUCCCCCAACUGGCCCGGCUGGUUCUGCAGCCCCUCCCCCACGGCCAAGGGCCGCGUGUGAAAUGCGGGGCCCGCUGGGGCCAGCCCGCCCAGCCUGUCAGCCUCUGAUGUCAGGCAUUUGGGGCGUGGAAUUCUCUGCCGAAUUUAGCAGCUUUACUAGACCAGGCACUAGCCAGUCCUUCCAAGUGGCGAGCUUCGCGGUGGGGGGAGGGCCUCGGGGCUGUGCUUGGGCCUGCAGGCCCCCAGUGGGGCCGGGGGACGGGCGAGCUGCCUGGGGAGAAGGAACUGGAGGACCUGAGGGCUGGGCCAUCUCUCCUGGGAAAAGAAAAGAGAGGUUUCCUUGACUUCCCCUACCCCUUCCUAGGGUUCCCUCGGUUUCCUCCUGGCUCCCCCCAAAAUAAGUAGCCUAGCUUCUAGAAUCAGGCGAACCUGGAUGUGAAACCUGGCCAUGGCUGUGUACCAGUUGUGACCUUGCCUGUUUUGCCUUGCCUCUGAACUCGUUUCCUCACCUCUGGGGGGGGGGGGGCGGAUCUGUGACUGUGAAAUCGGAGCAGGCUUGGGAAUGGCGGCUGGAUGGUGACUCCCAGUCCCAAAAUCUGACUCAGGAGAUGGGGUCUAAGAACUCGGCAUUCUCUCCUAAGCCCCCAGGUGACGCCCGGCUUCCAGAUCCUCUGGGCUAGGCAGCACCUGGGGAGUUGCCGGGCUUGCCUGGUACCUGGCAGCUGUCUUCAUAAGGAGAGCGGCCCUCAUUCUUGCCGAGUGAGUGAGCUGGCCUCUCUGUAGCUCACCCUACCUCUGGCAUCCAGGAGGCAGCUGCACGCCACCCAGGCGGCCUGACCCUUGAUCUCUGCCCCCCAGAUCUCUGCCCCCAGGCCGCUGUGCCGCUCCAGUUUGUGGUGGGUUACUUGAGGAGUCUUUGGGCCCAGGUGCCUACCUUAGCUAGGCCUCGGCUUCCCCUCCCUCCUCACACCCACCCUAAACGGCCGAGCUGUGGGAGGCCCCCAGAGACUUUGCUAGAAGCACCUGGCUGCUUAUCUGUGUGAGGCUUUCGGCCUGUCAGCCAAGGAUUGGAAUGUGCCGGUGCUGGCGACCUUGGGCAGUGUCUCCCGGCCAGCGAUCUCUGGGCUGGCCCCGUCUCAGUGGAGUGGUGGGAGGAUUACAUGCGAUUAGGGGGCCGUCCUCCAGAGCUGGCUUCUGACUAGUUGGCCUCCUUUGGGACUCUGGGUGGUGGCUGGGAGUGGCUUGGGGUGGUGGCUGGCUGUCUCCUGGGCGGCUCCUCCACCAGCCCACCUCCCAAAGCAUGUGGCCGAGCUUCUAGCCAAAGGGGAAAGACGACUGACUUUCCUUGGGAAGGCGGCCAGCUCGUUUUUUUCCUCCAGUGUAGCUUGAGUCGGGCAUGUUGUAGAAGGCUAUUUCUCCAUGUAGGGGUCAUGAUUUGGGGUUGUCUGCCCAGGGACUCAAGAGGUGACUCACCCAAGGUCAUCAGGCCACCAUCAGCAGAGCUGGAAUGAGGUUCCAGGUGUCUUCCAGCCCCGAGCCUGGGCCGAUGGCACCCCCCUUGCCCCAGCUGUCUGGGAUAUUUUGAGCGCCCUCCUGUGCCAGCUGUCUACUGGCACCACUGCUCAAGAACUGUCUGGUUGGAAGGAACCAGCGCGGUGCUAUUGGCUCCCUCCAAGAAGGGCCAGCCAGGCACCAUGAGGCCCCUAGAGCUGAUUUGGAUUUAGCGCACCCUCUGCGCCCCAGCCUUGAGCACUGAUUCCCACGGGAGAGGGGAGAGGAGGAGCCAGGCUUGAGAAUUCAAGCAGUUAGAUCCACUGCCCCUUUUUAGAAUGGUGACCUCUUUGCAUAUCCUGGAUCCGCCUCGGGGCUCCGCUUCCCUCGGGUUAGAGUCCUUAGGUGGAAGGUCUUUACCUCCUCCCAGGUAGCUUCUGAUGAUGUGAGACACCGGGUGCGCCCUGGAGAGCCACAGCCGUCCGUUUGGGGAAGGGUAAAGUGUAAGUAUCCGGUACCAACUGACACUGUUCCUCCCUCUCCCUGGGGCCCCAUUUGGGCUUUUGUCGGCUUUCUCUCCACUCCCCGCACCCUUCUAGCACCUGGAGGAGCCGGGCGGUCUCCCGCAGACUUCCCGGGCCGAAGGGAGCUCCGCCCACCAGUCCCCACCGACCUAGGGCGGGGCUGCUCCCGGCCUGCUGCGCCAGGGCCACGCCAGCGGAAGGGCUGGAAGGUAGUUGGCCUGGGACUCCGGUGCCCCGCCCCUUCCGGUCCCUUCCCUUGGAGCCCUGCAGGGACUGUGACCUUUUAGACCCUCCAGAAAACCACAGGACUGGACGGCUAGAGAAUGCUCCCCAGCACUUCAGACACCUCAACCCAGUGCUCUCUCCCGUGCCUUCUGGCAAAUUCCUCUCAGCUGGGAGGAGGAAGGUGAACAACCUUUUGAGCUGUUUUUAAAUUUUAUUUUCAGUAAUUGGAGGCCAGGGUUUCAUGCCUUGUUGCCAAGGCUGGUCUGAAAUUCCAGGAUUCAUACAAUCCCCGAGUGUAGCUGGGAUUCUGUCCUGUUCCCCCCAACCCCCCUGAAAGAGCUGAUAACUGCUGAGGCCUGAGUUUCUCCCUUCCCAGCCUCUCUCCCUGGGGUCCACAGGACAGGCCUAUACUCCCAGGCACCCCAUACUUGGCCAUCUGCAUUUACUGGGCCCUUAGGGAAAAGCUUUGUGAGUAAAGGUUCAGGCUGGGGUCUUUAUCUCCCACCUCCAUCAAUGCCUUAACAUUGGAUGGCUCUGUAAUUGCUUUCUGUGGCCUCAGAAUGCAAUACAUUUGGGGCACUUAGUAUGCUUGCCAGCCUCUCCAUCCUAACCUGGGCUGAUGGGACUUUUUCCUGAAAGGCUGAAGUAGACCAGUCCCUGCUUCUCCACUGGGCUCAGUUUCCUUGUUGGCCUCCCAGAGGCAUAGUCUUCUGUGUGACCCAAAAUUGAUUCGCCCUGUAGAGGCCACCUGACAGUCCUAAGGCAGCCUAAAGAAUCAAUCCAGGUGCCAGUGGUCCAUGCCUAUAAUCCUGCUUGGGGGGCUGAGAUAUGGAGGGUUGACAUUUGAAGCCAGGCUGGGCAAAAAGUUUGUGAGACAUGCCCCCUCAUCUCAAAAAUAAUCACCAGAGCAGAGUGGCUGGAGGUGUGAAUCAAGCAGCUACUGAGCAACUGCAAAACUUUCGCUUCAAACCCCAGUACUUCCACCAAAAAGAAAGAGACUUCCUUGCCCUCCUAAAACUCUCUAGGAAUUCCUGGGAAAUAGGACAGUGACUCAAGUCCUCAGAACAUCAUGGAGGUGAGGGAACAGGCCUCGGGGACAGGGGACCAUCUCCUCAGCUUGCCCGGCCUGGUGUGGCUAGCCUGACUCUCUGAGGAAGCUCUGAGCAACUGGCGGGGCUCCUGAGUAUUUUUAGCUACAGAAUCAGGCCCACCAUCACCACAGGAGCUGGGUCCAAAUCAAACACACUCCAAGCUGGUUGGUGCUGGGGUUCUGCCAGCCUCUUGGCUAGGCAGGGUGAGUGGGUGAGCAGGCUGCCGCCAGUGGCAGCUGUUCUGCCUAGGCCCAGCAGGGCUGGUAAGACUCACUUUGUACAUUUCCUCCCUUCAGCUUUGAGCAGGCCUGCUCUGUGAGGACAUCAUAGCCCAGGUUCUCCAAUGAGGAAAGUGGAGACAGAGCUAAGGAUUUUGAGACAGACAUGAGUCCUCUUCUGGGCAUGCAUGGUAAACCUGAGCCUCCUAAGUGAGGUCCCCCAGGCCUCCUGUCUGUGACAGGGUAGCCUCCCUCUGGAGCCAAGGCCCACCCUGAAGGAAGAAGCAGUUUGGGGCUUGCUGCAAAGGUAAGUGCUCUUCCUCUCACUCCAAAGCCCCCCAAAAUGCCCUCUUUUUGUGGGACUGUGAACCCAUUCAAUUUUGGCUUCCUUUGCUUUGGAGUUGUAGAGAACCUUGUGCCUGACGACUCUGAUCCUGAUACCCUUCUGUCCAGCCAACCCAAGGUGCUUCCAAGAGAUAGUCUGAGCUCUGCUUCCCCCAACAGUCAUGGCUCCUUCCUGGCCACACUGAGAAAGCAGAGUUUAGCUGCAGCAGGACUCCUUUCCUGCCCCCUCUCCCUGCAGCCUGGUAGCCAGGCAGGUCCUCCACGAUUGAACCCAGUUACCUUGGCAACUGGUCUGGCUACUCAGUCCUCCAUCCCUGCAGAACCCAAGGGAAGCUUUUCUAGCUGCAAUACAUUUGCCCAGGCCAGGCAACCACCUGCCUCCACCAUCCACCCUCCCAACACAUCCCAGCUCAGUGCAGUGCCAGCUGUCCCUGGGUCCUUGGCAGUGGCCUUGAAUCUGAUCUUAACCUCUUCCUAAACUUCAACAAACUCAGGUAGGAGUGUAAUUGCCUGUCAAUAAACAUGUUACAAGGAAAAGAAUGGGAGUUGUUGUAAAUGUGUCUAGUGUAUGGGAAGGGGUGGAGCCCGGCCCUGAAUAUGGGUGAGGUUGUCUACCAUGUGAAUAGAGUGCCUGCCCAACAACCUGGGUCAUCCUCCCCACGCUUGCCGGUCUUCUUCGCGUUUUCACUGCAGUCCUUGCUGCCCUCUGGUGGCUAGACCUUGCUUUGCACCUGCUGAAACUGACCGGGCAUUUAAGGAACUUGGGGGUUGGCAAUUUCCUCCACAAAAGUGAGGUUUACUUCACCUUUGCUGAGAACUUGAAAACUGGAAGUCUUCAGAGUGGAGUCAGGGACAAGAAGACUGGACGGACCCUCUGAAGAAACUUGUUCCCACCCCUCCCCAAUGCUGCUGCUGACAGGAUUCCAUUAGCUAUGAGCUUAACACACACACACACACGCUGAGAUCAUCAGUCAGGAGGACAGGAGACUGCUGCUCCUGCUGGCCUGGCUUGGGCAGGGCAUUCUGCCAACUGUCCUGACAGUAGUGAGGCGCCCCCACCCCCACCCCAGUGGCUGAUCAGGAUGAAGUGGGAGACGCUGCUUGGUGAGGAAACAGCACCCACUUCUUGUGCCCAGUCCCUCCAAAGUGCACAGAAAGGGCCCAGCUGAGAUCGAGGAGGCCUCUCACAUGCACACUCUAGGCCUUACAUAUGCUCAUACAUUGGGCCGCGCACGCGUGCACACAUACUUGCAUGUGCAUACACACUAGCCACACGCACACACGCGCGCCCCCUCCUGGAAGGAGCCGCGGCUCGCUCAUGUGGUCAGGGCCGCUCACCUGUGCAGCGUGGCGCAGUCGCCGGCGGAGGGCGCCGCGCACCCACCUGCAGCCGGAGAGGGGAGUAGGCGGGGCCCCGCGGCCCCCUGCCCCGGGCCGCCAGCACACUCAGGUUCUGCGGGUCACUCCAGGUGGGCAAUCAUGACUGCGACACCGGCCGGCCUCUUCCAGGGGGCAAUCGCAGCCACGUCCACCGCACGGGGAGGCACGCUAGCCACACAGCUGGUGGGCCAAGCCGGCGCCUCGAACCCGGGAGCUGGGGCACAGCCCACCAAUCAGGGAGCACUGGUCCAAGGUGGGCUGCCCGAUUGGCCAAUCACAGGGCCCCUACCAGGAGGCGGGGCCUGCCAAUCAGGGGCUCCUGGGGUUCCGCGGCGGAAACCACCGGGUCUGGCGCUGGGGGGGAGGGGGGGGGCGCGUGACGCGCUGGGAGAGUGGGGAGCCGGGCUUGGGGCUGAGCACCCCGAUUC
Long non-coding RNA from Perognathus longimembris pacificus (Pacific pocket mouse), 6925 nucleotides. RefSeq lists it as uncharacterized. The record is from RefSeq and is a predicted model, not a curated record. NCBI's taxonomy places the organism in Eukaryota, Metazoa, Chordata, Mammalia, Rodentia, Heteromyidae. The transcript has 3 exons.